UUUGUCUUUGGCUUAUUCGAGCUGUGUUCUUGCCAUAAUAUGGACCACAGUUGGCGGUGCGUGUCACAGCAGGACCUGUACCAUGAAGUCUGAGGAACUGUCCGUAGAGCUCAGAGAGGAUUUUCAAUGAGGCGUGUAUAUCUGGGGUCGAAGGGUGUAAAUAACGCCAAUUUUUCUGCAGCGUUUGACAGUUAAUCAAUCAAAUGGAAAAGAUAUGGAAGAGCGCCAGACUCUGCCUUGAUUUGGGCCGUCGGACCGAAACUGAGGCAACCGUGUGCCGAGAGGGACGACACAACCAGAGGAACAGGAUUGUAUCAUACCUAGCAUUUUAAAAGUAAAACUAAUAACCCCCCCCCCACACACACACACACACACACACCUCUCAUAAAGCAAGUCACACAGGAUGUUAGCAUGUGUGCUAACGCCUAUACAAGAAGCAAGUCACACAGGAUGUUAGCAUAUUGCUAACACCUAUACAAGAAGUAAGUCACACAGGAUGUUAGCAUAUUGCUAACACCUAUACAAUAAGUAAGUCACACAGGAUGUUAGCAUAUUGCUAACGCCUAUACAAGAAGCAAGUCACACAGGAUGUUAGCAUGUGUGCUAACACCUAUACAAGAAGCAAGUCACACAGGUUGACACAGGACACAGGAUGUUAGCAUGUGUGCUAACGCCUAUACAAGAAGCAAGUCACACAGGAUGUUAAAAUAAAUAAAUAUAUUUAUUGGCUGAUCUUAAUUUUUUUUUUUUUUUAAGUUCUGUUGAACAUAAAUUGUCCUUCUGUAUUAAAGUACGACUUCUGCCUCGGCUCUUGUAUUCUAGAAGAAUCACAAGACGCCCGCGAAACUGGCGGAUUAGACUCCCGUGAAACUGGGGGAGGCGGAUUAGACUCCCGUGAAACUGGGGGAGGCGGAUUAGACGCCCGUGAAACUGGGGGAGGCGGAUUAGACGCCCGUGAAACUGGGGGAGGCGGAUUAGAUGCCCGUGAAACUGGAGGAGAGGGUGCUCUUUUAAAAAACAUAUUUUUACAAAGACCUAAUUUAAUGUCACUAAGACUUUUUGGAUGUUUUAUGAAACUGGUCCUUUUUUUUGUAAAUCAUUCAUUUCUUCUGAAGGUAAAAAAUAAAUAAAAAUGAUUCGGUUGUUUGGGGACUUUUUCAUUUUUAAUGGUCCUUUUCAUGUCUCAUUACCAGAGACUGAGGGCCUGUCUCUGUCUCCUAGGUAACCAGGAGAGACUGAGGGCCUGUCUCUGUCUCCUAGGUAACCGGGAGAGACUGAGGGCCUGUCUCUGUCUCCUAGGUAACCGGGAGAGACUGAGGGCCUGUCUCUGUCUCCUAGGUAACCGGGAGAGACUGAGGGCCUGUCUCUGUCUCCUAGGUAACCGGGAGAGACUGAGGGCCUGUCUCUGUCUCCUAGGUAACCGGGAGAGACUGAGGGCCUGUCUCUGUCUCCUAGGUAACCGGGAGAGACUGAGGGCCUGUCUCUGUCUCCUAGGUAACCGGGAGAGACUGAGGGCCUGUCUCUGUCUCCUAGGUAACCGGGAGAGACUGAGGGCCUGUCUCUGUCUCCUAGGUAACCGGGAGAGACUGAGGGCCUGUCUCUGUCUCCUAGGUAACCGGGAGAGACUGAGGGCCUGUCUCUGUCUCCUAGGUAACCGGGAGAGACUGAGGGCCUGUCUCUGUCUCCUAGGUAACCGGGAGAGACUGAGGGCCUGUCUCUGUCUCCUAGGUAACCGGGAGAGACUGAGGGCCUGUCUCUGUCUCCUAGGUAACCGGGAGAGACUGAGGGCCUGUCUCUGUCUCCUAGGUAACCGGGAGAGACUGAGGGCCUGUCUCUGUCUCCUAGGUAACCGGGAGAGACUGAGGGCCUGUCUCUGUCUCCUAGGUAACCGGGAGAGACUGAGGGCCUGUCUCUGUCUCCUAGGUAACCGGGAGAGACUUGAGGGCCUGUCUCUGUCUCCUAGGUAACCGGGAGAGACUUGAGGGCCUGUCUCUGUCUCCUAGGUAACCGGGAGAGACUUGAGGGCCUGUCUCUGUCUCCUAGGUAACCGGGAGAGACUGAGGGCCUGUCUCUGUCUCCUAGGUAACCGGGAGAGACUGAGGGCCUGUCUCUGUCUCCUAGGUAACCGGGAGAGACUUGAGGGCCUGUCUCUGUCUCCUAGGUAACCGGGAGAGACUUGAGGGCCUGUCUCUGUCUCCUAGGUAACCGGGAGAGACUUGAGGGCCUGUCUCUGUCUCCUAGGUAACCGGGAGAGACUUGAGGGCCUGUCUCUGUCUCCUAGGUAACCGGGAGAGACUUGAGGGCCUGUCUCUGUCUCCUAGGUAACCGGGAGAGACUGAGGGCCUGUCUCUGUCUCCUAGGUAACCGGGAGAGACUGAGGGCCUGUCUCUGUCUCCUAGGUAACCGGGAGAGACUGAGGGCCUGUCUCUGUCUCCUAGGUAACCGGGAGAGACUGAGGGCCUGUCUCUGUCUCCUAGGUAACCGGGAGAGACUGAGGGCCUGUCUCUGCUGAUGUGUGUUUAUUAUGGCAAUGUCUGUUCCAGCGUUUUAUAACUGACUAUUUAAUACCAUCAACACGGUUUUGACAGUAGAUAUCUAGCUCGUGUGUGUGUGUGUGUGUGUGUGUGUGUGUGUGUGUGUGUGUGUGUGUGUGUGUGUGUG
Long non-coding RNA from Oncorhynchus keta (chum salmon), 2661 nucleotides. RefSeq lists it as uncharacterized. The record is from RefSeq and is a predicted model, not a curated record. NCBI's taxonomy places the organism in Eukaryota, Metazoa, Chordata, Actinopteri, Salmoniformes, Salmonidae. The transcript is spliced from 3 exons.